CCUACGGGGGGCUGCAGUGGGGAAUAUUGGACAAUGGGGGAAACCCUGAUCCAGCAAUGCCGCGUGUGUGAAGAAGGCCUGCGGGUUGUAAAGCACUUUCGGUUGGGAAGAAAAGUUUGGCGCCAAUACCGCCGAACCUUGACGUUACUGACAGAAGAAGCACCGGCUAACUCUGUGCCCGCAGCCGCGGUAAUACAGACGGUGCAAGCGUUAAUCAGAAUCACUUGGGUGGAAAUGUAAGUAGGGGGUGAAAUCCCCGGGCUUAACCUGGGAACUGCAUUCGAUACUACAUGGCUAGAGUAUGGUAGAGGGAAGUGGAAUUUCCGGUGUAGCGGUGAAAUGCGUAGAUAUCGGAAGGAACACCAAUGGCGAAGGCAGCUUCCUGGACUAAUACUGACACUGAGGCACGAAAGCGUGGGUAGCAAACAGGAUUAGAUACCCCUGUAGUC
This 449-nucleotide ribosomal RNA is filed under the name uncultured bacterium. RNAcentral's name for it is "partial 16S ribosomal RNA". It matches the Rfam family "Bacterial small subunit ribosomal RNA", at positions 338 to 795 of the family's 1533-position model. The record is from RNAcentral.